RNAcentral lists this long non-coding RNA (406 nucleotides) under Homo sapiens (human). RNAcentral describes it as "HSALNT0018470". The record is from RNAcentral. Lineage: Eukaryota; Metazoa; Chordata; Mammalia; Primates; Hominidae.
AAGUAGGUCCUUAACUCCCAGGAGAUGACAAAGCCCCUCCCAUGCCUCUGACCUGACAUCUCUGCACGUGUGUGUGGUAUUCACAUGUUGGGGCUUGCUGUUCCUGGGGUCCUUAUGUCUCAUCUGUGGCCUAGGUGGCAUCUGUAAGGCCCUGAGUCCAGCGUUGGAUCAUGGAGGGCCCUAAAAAUGGUAGUUUCCUUUUCUCUAAGACAGGGCCUGGAGGAAGACCAGACAUCAACCUCCCAAGCUGGCUGAAAUCGUCUUACUGUCUGACACAGAGCCGGGUUCUCCCUAGUACAUGCUGCUCUGGAAUACCUAGGAGAGGAAGAGGAAGGAGGCAAGGUAAGCUGGGGGCUUUUCACACUAAAGGCCUACAGAGGGGUAGGUGGAGUCGGCAUAGGUGCCA